RNAcentral lists this ribosomal RNA (467 nucleotides) under uncultured bacterium. Its description in RNAcentral is "partial 16S ribosomal RNA". It matches the Rfam family "Bacterial small subunit ribosomal RNA", at positions 29 to 507 of the family's 1533-position model. The record is from RNAcentral.
ACGAACGCUGGCGGCGUGCUUAACACAUGCCAGUCGAACGGAAAGGCCCUGCUUUUGUGGGGUGCUCGAGUGGCGAACGGGUGAGUAACACGUGAGUAACCUGCCCUUGACUUUGGGAUAACUUCAGGAAACUGGGGCUAAUACCGGAUAGGAGCUCCUGCUGCAUGGUGGGGGUUGGAAAGUUUCGGCGGUUGGGGAUGGACUCGCGGCUUAUCAGCUUGUUGGUGGGGUAGUGGCUUACCAAGGCUUUGACGGGUAGCCGGCCUGGGAGGGUGACCGGCCACAUUGGGACUGAGAUACGGCCCAGACUCCUACGGGAGGCAGCAGUGGGGAAUACUGCACAAUGGGCGGAAGCCUGAUGCAGCAACGCCGCGUGCGGGAUGACGGCCUUCGGGUUGUAAACCGCUUUCGCCUGUGACGAAGCGUGAGUGACGGUAAUGGGUAAAGAAGCACCGGCUAACUACGUG